Hemicordylus capensis (graceful crag lizard) is the source of this 1274-nucleotide long non-coding RNA. RefSeq lists it as uncharacterized. The record is from RefSeq and is a predicted model, not a curated record. The transcript is spliced from 5 exons. NCBI's taxonomy places the organism in Eukaryota, Metazoa, Chordata, Lepidosauria, Squamata, Cordylidae.
CUGAUCCAAAGGAAUCCUGGGACCUGUAGUUUGGGGUACUCUGAGGAGGUCAUCUGAAGAACAUUUUAAGGGCUACAUUGGGACAUAUGAGUCAAGGCGCUGUCUCAGCUACUAUCUCCACCUUCCCCUGUAACAAAGAGGCAGUGUUAGAAUCUUAAACCCUGCUUGAUCAGAGGGAUCGACCCGGAAGCACCUAUACUGCAUCGGGGCUUUCUCAGCAAUUGAUCCAAACUAUGCUUCAGAAGCAGGAGGUAGCUCCAGGCGCAUAGCUACAAUAUGGGCAGAGACGGGGAGGGACGUUCUUGUUCUCUUCGCUGAGCUUCAGCUCGCAGAUGACAUCACGGUGCUUAAGGAGACGCAGCAGAUACUUCUCGGAAAUGAGGACUGGGGAGAAUUGUACCACCUCUGCAUGACAAGGAGAGAACACAGCAGUCAACAAGAAUCGCUAAAGGGGGACUCCAGGAAGGAGACGUGAACACACCCUACUGCUUCUUAGAAAAAUGAAGAGGAGGGAAUGAACCUAACUGUAGAUAUCGGAUUCAUCCAUGAUCUCUGAUUUGAUUAUUUGCUCAAUCACAUCCUGCAGGGUCACCACACCAAUCACAAGAUGCCUGGACUCAUCGUCAUCUUCCUCCUGCAUCUGGACAAUGGCCAGUUGAGAUUUACCUGUAGGACAGACAUUGGUUAUAGAACUGUUGCAAGGGGUGCAUUUUUAUUAAACUUUAUUUUUGUAAAACUCUUAAAGCGUUAUAUCCAAUGUAUAAUGCAUUCACUAUCCCCUUGGUUUCAGUAUACAGCUGUUCUGACUUGUUAAUAUAGUAUGCAGAUUAUUUUAUUAUACUUUGUAUAAAGCGCUUUACUUUCAUGUGGAAAAUGGAUGGAAUUCCCAGACCAGAUUUCAUCACCCAUCCCCAAUCCUUUCUGUUCCACAGAAAAAAAUUAACUGUAAAUGCAUAAUAAAGUGGAUGUUCUUUUUUUAAAAAAGAAAGAGCAUCCACGGUAGAAUAUAAUUACAGCAGGGGUUCUCAAUCUUGUGUUUCCAGAUGCUGCUGUGAAGAAACCACAUGGAAUCAUGAUUCAUAACUGUAAGAAACUUUACUUUGAGCUUGCAUAAAAUAAGAAGCCAGUAAACCCUUAUCAUACUGGAUGAGAUAGGUGGAUUACAUGACUUGAAUGAAGAGAGAGAAGUCAGUAUGCUACAUGUAGGAAUGAAAAUCUAUGUAUUAAUUCAGAUGAAAAUCUUAGACCACUUUAAUGCCUUCAAUAAAAUCCAA